Molecule: ribosomal RNA, 408 nt
Filed under: uncultured Lactobacillus sp.
Lineage: Bacteria; Bacillati; Bacillota; Bacilli; Lactobacillales; Lactobacillaceae
Description: bacterial SSU rRNA
Rfam family: Bacterial small subunit ribosomal RNA
Source: RNAcentral
CGGAACUAACAGAUUUACUUCGGUAAUGACGUUAGGAAAGCGAGCGGCGGAUGGGUGAGUAACACGCGGGGAAUCUGCCCCAUAGUCUGGGAUACCACUUGGAAACAGGUGCUAAUACCGGAUAAGAAAGCAGAUCGCAUGAUCAGCUUUUAAAAGGCGGCGUAAGCUGUCGCUAUGGGAUGGCCCCGCGGUGCAUUAGCUAGUUGGUAAGGUAAAGGCUUACCAAGGCGAUGAUGCAUAGCCGAGUUGAGAGACUGAUCGGCCACAUUGGGACUGAGACACGGCCCAAACUCCUACGGGGGGCAGCAGUAGGGAAUCUUCCACAAUGGACGCAAGUCUGAUGGAGCAACGCCGCGUGAGUGAAGAAGGUUUUCGGAUCGUAAAGCUCUGUUGUUGGUGAAGAAGGAU